Molecule: long non-coding RNA, 2097 nt
Filed under: Scleropages formosus (Asian bonytongue)
Lineage: Eukaryota; Metazoa; Chordata; Actinopteri; Osteoglossiformes; Osteoglossidae
Description: lncRNA (ENSSFOG00015031508.1)
Source: RNAcentral
AUGGAGAGCAGCUCUUCAAAAGCAGAGGAACUGCAGCUGUUUUUGCGUAAUAUGGAGCAGGAGAGAAUCAUACUGGGAGAUCUCCUGCAGACCCAGGUUCAGAUCUUGCCCCAUUUGAGCCAUCCAGACCGAGUAGUGGUUCAGAUACAAUUGAUAAGCCUGCAGAAGGAGUGGAAGACCAUAGAGAUGUCUGUAGAAGCCUCUUUGCACCGUUUCUCUGUUCUCAACCAAGCAGUCAACAGCCUUCUCUUGGAGACUCAGGAUCUUCAACACCAGAUGAAGACACUGAAGAAGUCACUGGAGCCUGGCCAGUCUGCUUCUAGCAAGUGGAACAGCAAGCAGGCUGGGGAGCUAUUGAUUGUGGGUGCUGACCUCACUGCUGUUAACCAACAUUAUCUUCACCUGCAGCAAAUUGCUGAGGCUCUUGUCCAGGAUUCUCUGGGUGAGCAGGAGAUGAGGAGCAUCUCCCUAGCCCUCCAGGGUGUGAAAGAUGAACUAGACCAAUUGCAGCUUUCGACACAAAUGCCUAUUAGCAGCAAUACAACACUAGUUAAGAUUAUGAAGGUGAUCCAAGAGGCGUUCACCUGGGCGAAGCAGAUAGAGAGUAACAUCGAGGCGGAGAAAAAAGUGGCCCUUCUUCCUGAGGAAGUCCACCGACAGAUCAAAGGAUUGAAGAAACUACAGGCAGACAUAACUGCCAAACAGAUUCAACUAGAAUCCCUGUCUGAGGAGGUAAAGGAGCUAACUCCUGAGCUGGAAGAGGAAGAUAUUCCUAUGGUGCAGUCCUUGCUCAAAUCCUUGCAGAGCUUGUCCUGUUCAACUGUGGAGAAGUUAGCUCAAGCACUACAGGAUGUGGAGUCAGGCUUGCAACUGAGAGAAAAGAUGUCAGAGCAAAUUGCUGAUGUAGAUUCCUGGGUGCUGGCUCAUGUACGGUCAGAGGCCACCAGAGAAGACAUGAGUGAAAAAUGUGCAGCAGACUUGGAGCACAGGCUCCGACAGAUACAGGAAACCCUCAGAGAAGCGGAUAAACAGGUUGCUGUAACUGAAGCACUGAUGAUGAAGAGCAAAGACAUUGCUCUGGAACUCAGCAUUGAUGAAAACUGCUACCUCAACAUCAAACUCAUGGGUCUCCAGAAAGAAAUAAAAAGUAUUAUUUGCCGUGAGAAGGCAAACUGCAUGGAGUUGGAGGAUCUACUACAAGAAAAAGUCUCUUCAUUGAGGAAAUUGACAUCCAUUGAAAAUAGUCUGACAAAAAUGUUGGUUGACUUAAAGAAGUGUGAAUUUCCAGUGACUAAAGACAGUCUUGUGAAGAUGCAGCCUUUAAAACAAAUGCUUUUGGAACAGAGGUGCCAAGUGGACCAACUGCAUGGCUGCUCCGAGGACAAAAGGAGAGAACUCCUGUGCACCAUGGUUGAGCUGCAGGACAAAAUGGAUGGCAUGGCAGCAAAGUCUUCAGAGCAGGUAGGGUAUCUGAGCUACAGGAGACGCAUUGAGGAGCUGAGAAAUGCCAUCGAGACACAGGUCCUGCAUAUGAAGGAUGAGAAUAUUGGACAGGUAGAGCGGUAUAGUGCCUGCCAAGCUCUUUUAAUCCAGUUCCCACUGAUAAAGAGGCUCUGCCAGGAAGCAAUGGACCAGCUCCAAGGAAUUGCACUGGACUUGUACCCAUCUCAGCUAAACUCAGAAAAACAGUGGAUUCUGCAGGUCACAGAGGUAUUCUCCACUUGGGAGCUGACCCUCUACAAUAAUGUCCAGAUCCUGGAGUGGGCACUGCUGAAGGGGCUCCACUACCCAACUGAGCACAGGGCUGCACUGGUUUUCCUGGAGCAGGUUGACGGGAAAGUGCAGCAGCCCCCUCUGGUCUGUUGCAGUGUGCAUACCAUUGACUGGGAGCUGAGGAGGUGCACGGUCCUUCAGAGCAGUGUGGAGUCUAGGAUGCGGGUGCUAGAGGCCCUGAAACACAAGAGUGGGGCUGGUCAGAAGGGGCCAUGGCAGAGCUCUGGAGACCUGGAUGCAUUGAGGGGAAGGAUUUUGAAGGCCUGUCAUCAGCGAGUGGUAUGUAAGCCACUGAGACAUGAUCCUGAUUUCCUUAGCUCCUGA